RNAcentral lists this ribosomal RNA (464 nucleotides) under uncultured Actinomycetales bacterium. RNAcentral's name for it is "bacterial SSU rRNA". It matches the Rfam family "Bacterial small subunit ribosomal RNA", at positions 28 to 505 of the family's 1533-position model. The record is from RNAcentral. Lineage: Bacteria; Bacillati; Actinomycetota; Actinomycetes; Actinomycetales.
GACGAACGCUGGCGGCGUGCUUUACACAUGCAAGUCGAACGGAGAAGCACCUUCGGGUGUGGAUCAGUGGCGAACGGGUGAGUAACACGUGGGUAACCUGCCCCUCACUUCGGGAUAACUCCGGGAAACCGGGGCUAAUACUGGAUAUCACCAGACCGGGCAUCCGGACUGGUUGAAAGGGUUUACUGGUGAGGGAUGGACCCGCGGCCUAUCAGCUAGUUGGUGGGGUAAUGGCCUACCAAGGCGACGACGGGUAGCCGGCCUGAGAGGGCGACCGGCCACACUGGGACUGAGACACGGCCCAGACUCCUACGGGAGGCAGCAGUGGGGAAUAUUGCGCAAUGGACGAAAGUCUGACGCAGCAACGCCGCGUGAGGGAACGAAGGCCUUUGGGUUGUAAACCUCUUUCAGCAGGGACGAAGCGAAAGUGACGGUACCUGCAGAAGAAGCACCGGCUAACUACG